UACAGAGGUCCCAAGCGUUGUUCGGAUUCAUUGGGCGUAAAGGGUGCGUAGGUGGCGGGGUAAGUCGGAUGUGAAAUCUCGGGGCUCAACCUCGAAACUGCAUUCGAUACUGCCUUGCUAGAGUACUGGAGAGGAGAUCGGAAUUUACGGUGUAGCGGUGAAAUGCGUAGAUAUCGAGAGGAACACCGGUGGCGAAGGCGAGUCCCUGGACAACACCUGACACUGAGGCACGAAAGCUAGGGGAGCAAACAGG
RNAcentral lists this ribosomal RNA (253 nucleotides) under uncultured bacterium. Its description in RNAcentral is "partial 16S ribosomal RNA". It matches the Rfam family "Bacterial small subunit ribosomal RNA", at positions 524 to 776 of the family's 1533-position model. The record is from RNAcentral.